AGUGAACGCUGGCGGCAGGCCUAACACAUGCAAGUCGAGCGGCAGCGCGGGGGCAACCCUGGCGGCGAGCGGCGGACGGGUGAGGAAUGCAUCGGAAUCUACCUCGUUGUGGGGGAUAACGUAGGGAAACUUACGCUAAUACCGCAUACGACCUACGGGUGAAAGUGGGGGACCUUCGGGCCUCACGCGAUGAGAUGAGCCGAUGCCGGAUUAGCUAGUUGGUGGGGUAAGAGCCUACCAAGGCGACGAUCAGUAUCUGGUUUGAGAGGACGAUCAGACACACUGGAACUGAGACACGGUCCAGACUCCUACGGGAGGCAGCAGUGGGGAAUUUUCCGCAAUGGGCGAAAGCCUGACGGAGCAAUACCGCGUGAAGGAAGACGGCCUAUGGGUUGUAAACUUCUUUUUUCAGGGAGGAAUUCAAUGACGUGUACCUGAAGAAUAAGCAUCGGCUAACUCCGUGCCAGCAGCCGCGGUAAGACGGAGGAUGCAAGUGUUAUCCGGAAUCACUGGGCGUAAAGCGUCUGUAGGUUGUU
This 536-nucleotide ribosomal RNA is filed under the name uncultured eukaryote. RNAcentral describes it as "bacterial SSU rRNA". It matches the Rfam family "Bacterial small subunit ribosomal RNA", at positions 28 to 580 of the family's 1533-position model. The record is from RNAcentral.